This 297-nucleotide unclassified non-coding RNA is filed under the name Hevea brasiliensis (rubber tree). Lineage: Eukaryota; Viridiplantae; Streptophyta; Magnoliopsida; Malpighiales; Euphorbiaceae. The record is from RNAcentral.
AGCCUAAACAAGCAGCAAAAUUGAUCCAACAAAUUCAAAGUACACAUUUUGACCUGGAUAAUGCUGACAUUAAGUCCCUAUUUUCAAAACAAGAAGCCGAUGAAGAAACUGUCUUCGCCUUGGAAUAAAUCUUUUCAAACGAAGAAAAAUCUUCAUCAGAAGAUGAUUUCGGAUACCUCUGUAUCAAUACUCUUCAGUCUUGCCAUCCAGUACAGCCCAUGAUCUCCUUUCCAUUGGUUCACAUUCAUGUCCUACCCUCCAAAUAUGAAAAAACAAUUCCUAUCAUUGGUUUUCUUG